This 1149-nucleotide ribosomal RNA is filed under the name Microbacterium flavescens. RNAcentral describes it as "bacterial SSU rRNA". It matches the Rfam family "Bacterial small subunit ribosomal RNA", at positions 77 to 1238 of the family's 1533-position model. The record is from RNAcentral. Lineage: Bacteria; Bacillati; Actinomycetota; Actinomycetes; Micrococcales; Microbacteriaceae.
AGCUUGCUGGGUGGAUCAGUGGCGAACGGGUGAGUAACACGUGAGCAACCUGCCCCGGACUCUGGGAUAAGCGCUGGAAACGGCGUCUAAUACUGGAUACGAGCUGCAACCGCAUGGUUAGCAGUUGGAAAGAAUUUCGGUCUGGGAUGGGCUCGCGGCCUAUCAGCUUGUUGGUGAGGUAAUGGCUCACCAAGGCGUCGACGGGUAGCCGGCCUGAGAGGGUGACCGGCCACACUGGGACUGAGACACGGCCCAGACUCCUACGGGAGGCAGCAGUGGGGAAUAUUGCACAAUGGGCGGAAGCCUGAUGCAGCAACGCCGCGUGAGGGACGACGGCCUUCGGGUUGUAAACCUCUUUUAGCAAGGAAGAAGCGAAAGUGACGGUACUUGCAGAAAAAGCGCCGGCUAACUACGUGCCAGCAGCCGCGGUAAUACGUAGGGCGCAAGCGUUAUCCGGAAUUAUUGGGCGUAAAGAGCUCGUAGGCGGUUUGUCGCGUCUGCUGUGAAAUCCCGAGGCUCAACCUCGGGUCUGCAGUGGGUACGGGCAGACUAGAGUGCGGUAGGGGAGAUUGGAAUUCCUGGUGUAGCGGUGGAAUGCGCAGAUAUCAGGAGGAACACCGAUGGCGAAGGCAGAUCUCUGGGCCGUAACUGACGCUGAGGAGCGAAAGGGUGGGGAGCAAACAGGCUUAGAUACCCUGGUAGUCCACCCCGUAAACGUUGGGAACUAGUUGUGGGGUCCAUUCCACGGAUUCCGUGACGCAGCUAACGCAUUAAGUUCCCCGCCUGGGGAGUACGGCCGCAAGGCUAAAACUCAAAGGAAUUGACGGGGACCCGCACAAGCGGCGGAGCAUGCGGAUUAAUUCGAUGCAACGCGAAGAACCUUACCAAGGCUUGACAUACACGAGAACGCUGCAGAAAUGUAGAACUCUUUGGACACUCGUGAACAGGUGGUGCAUGGUUGUCGUCAGCUCGUGUCGUGAGAUGUUGGGUUAAGUCCCGCAACGAGCGCAACCCUCGUUCUAUGUUGCCAGCACGUAAUGGUGGGAACUCAUGGGAUACUGCCGGGGUCAACUCGGAGGAAGGUGGGGAUGACGUCAAAUCAUCAUGGCCCCUUAUGGCUUGGGCUUCACGCAUGCUACAAUGGGCCGG